Molecule: unclassified non-coding RNA, 212 nt
Filed under: uncultured Helotiales
Lineage: Eukaryota; Fungi; Ascomycota; Leotiomycetes; Helotiales
Description: sequence contains 5.8S rRNA gene, ITS2, 28S rRNA gene
Rfam family: 5.8S ribosomal RNA (bases 1-52)
Source: RNAcentral
AACGCACAUUGCGCCCUUUGGUAUUCCGAAGGGCAUGCCUGUUCGAGCGUCAUUACACCUUCUACAAAGGUUUUGGGGAUGGCACAGCCGCCCUUAAAAAGCUUGGUGGUAACUGGAACCCACGCACAGUAAUCUCUGCGAAGGCGACCAGGUAAACACCGAAAACUCUUCUGUUUGACCUCGGAUCAGGUAGGGAUACCCGCUGAACUUAA